AACGAACGCUGGCGGCAUGCCUAACACAUGCAAGUCGAACGAGACCUUCGGGUCUAGUGGCGCACGGGUGCGUAACGCGUGGGAACCUGCCCUUAGGUUCGGAAUAACUCCCCGAAAGGGGUGCUAAUACCGGAUAAUGUCUUCGGACCAAAGAUUUAUCGCCUUUGGAUGGGCCCGCGUUGGAUUAGCUAGUUGGUAGGGUAAAAGCCUACCAAGGCGACGUUCCAUAGCUGGUCUGAGAGGAUGAUCAGCCACACUGGGACUGAGACACGGCCCAGACUCCUACGGGAGGCAGCAGUGGGGAAUAUUGGACAAUGGGCGAAAGCCUGAUCCAGCAAUGCCGCGUGAGUGAUGAGGGCCUUAGGGUUGUAAGGCUCUUUUACCCGGGAUGAUAAUGACAGUACCGGGAGAAUAAGCGCCGGCUAACUCCGUG
This 433-nucleotide ribosomal RNA is filed under the name uncultured bacterium. RNAcentral describes it as "partial 16S ribosomal RNA". It matches the Rfam family "Bacterial small subunit ribosomal RNA", at positions 29 to 507 of the family's 1533-position model. The record is from RNAcentral.